UUACUGGUAGCAGAAAAAAACAAAUAGACAUAGCUGCACUUUUUUCGCUAUCAUUCUGAGUAUCAUAAUCACUUGCUGUUUUAUUUCACUUUUGACAUUCAUUUUAUGUUAUGUUAUUAGGUUUCUCACUGAAGAAACUUGCGGAGCUUUUAACUGAUGAUGCCCCUUAUAUGGAAAGCCCCGACCCACAAACGUCAACCUGGUGGAAAAGGCAAAGCGAUGCCUAUCUGCACUGGAACCAAUCAAGAGUUGACAACCUGGACAGCUUGUUGGCAUUGUAAAGUGUCACAGCCAGACUCUGCAGUCACUGUUCCUCGGAAGCCGUAGUUAGGUGCCAUGAAUGCAUGCCAUUGGGAUGGUUUUGUCCAUCCUGCGACAUUCAUAUCCAUCAGCAAAGAUUUUCUUUGCACAAUCGACAAACCACCUUUGAAGGUUUUUAUAAAUCUAUUCCACCUUCUGAGGCAGUGACUCUUGAUGACGGCACUUACACCAUCUUUGAACAAGCUGGUUUCCUUCCGGUUGUGUUACCACCAAGAUGUUGCCAAGACAGCGAUGUGACACUCUCUGCUGGCACACCAAUAAUCCUCAUUAACAUAAAUGGUCGUUUUGAGCUUCACACACCAGUUGUCACAUGUACCAACUGUGGUAAUCGCUGGACCCCAGAGGUUUCUGAUUUGGUCAGAAGUGGGUACUGGCCUUCAACAAUGCAGGCACAGACCAUGUAUCAGCAGGACUUGUUUGAGUCCUUUAAAGAAAUGAAGACAACUGCGCCAGGAAUGUCCAGACAAGCUUUCACAUCAAUGCUGGAUCAAAGAACUAAGUACUUUGGAAGAGUGAGUUUAUAACUUUAAUAACUUUCAAUAACAUUUUUAAGGUUUUUAUUUUCAUCACCUGUCAAUAAUUUGCUUGUUUAAAAAUGUCAGA
Long non-coding RNA from Oryzias melastigma (Indian medaka), 924 nucleotides. RefSeq lists it as uncharacterized. The transcript has 3 exons. Lineage: Eukaryota; Metazoa; Chordata; Actinopteri; Beloniformes; Adrianichthyidae. The record is from RefSeq and is a predicted model, not a curated record.